Molecule: ribosomal RNA, 209 nt
Filed under: uncultured bacterium
Lineage: Bacteria
Description: partial 16S ribosomal RNA
Rfam family: Bacterial small subunit ribosomal RNA
Source: RNAcentral
GUUCAGAUUGCAGGCUGCAACCCGCCUGCAUGAAGUCGGAAUUGCUAGUAAUCGCGGAUCAGCAUGCCGCGGUGAAUACGUUCCCGGGCCUUGUACACACCGCCCGUCACACCAUGGGAGCCGGUAAUACCCGAAGUCAGUAGUCCAACCUCGUGAGGACGCUGCCGAAGGCAGGAUUGGCGACUGGGGUGAAGUCGUAACAAGGUAAC